UAGAACGUAGCUAAACAGAAAAGCAUCUCCCUUACACUGAGAAGACAUUCGUGCAAAUCGAAUCGUUUUAA
RNAcentral lists this transfer RNA (71 nucleotides) under Gymnothorax hepaticus (liver-colored moray eel). RNAcentral's name for it is "tRNA-Val". It matches the Rfam family "tRNA". Rfam says of the family: Transfer RNA (tRNA) molecules are approximately 80 nucleotides in length. Lineage: Eukaryota; Metazoa; Chordata; Actinopteri; Anguilliformes; Muraenidae. The record is from RNAcentral.